RNAcentral lists this ribosomal RNA (998 nucleotides) under uncultured organism. Its description in RNAcentral is "bacterial SSU rRNA". It matches the Rfam family "Bacterial small subunit ribosomal RNA", at positions 60 to 1093 of the family's 1533-position model. The record is from RNAcentral.
AGUCGAACGCAACCUUCGGGUUGAGUGGCGGACGGGUGAGUAACGCGUGAGAAUCUGCCUUGGGGUCGGGGACAACCACUGGAAACGGUGGCUAAUACCGGAUAAGCCUUUGGGUAAAAGAUUUAUUGCCCCAAGAGGAGCUCGCGUCUGAUUAGCUAGUUGGUGAGGUAAAAGCUCACCAAGGCAGCGAUCAGUAGCUGGUCUGAGAGGACGAUCAGCCACACUGGGACUGAGACACGGCCCAGACUCCUACGGGAGGCAGCAGUGGGGAAUUUUCCGCAAUGGGCGAAAGCCUGACGGAGCAAGACCGCGUGAGGGAGGAAGGCUCUUGGGUUGUAAACCUCUUUUCUCAGGGAAGAAGCUCUGACGGUACCUGAGGAAUCAGCCUCGGCUAACUCCGUGCCAGCAGCCGCGGUAAUACGGAGGAGGCAAGCGUUAUCCGGAAUUAUUGGGCGUAAAGCGUCCGCAGGUGGCGAUUCAAGUCUGCUGUCAAAGCACGGGGCUUAACUCCGUUAAGGCAGUGGAAACUGAAUAGCUAGAGUGCCGUAGGGGUAGAGGGAAUUCCCGGUGUAACGGUGAAAUGCGUAGAGAUCGGGAAGAACAUCGGUGGCGAAAGCGCUCUACUGGACGGCAACUGACACUCAGGGACGAAAGCUAGGGGAGCGAAUGGGAUUAGAUACCCCAGUAGUCCUAGCUGUAAACGAUGGAUACUAGGUGUAGCUUGUAUCGACCCGAGCUGUGCCGAAGCUAACGCGUUAAGUAUCCCGCCUGGGGAGUACGCACGGCAAGUGUUGAAGCUCACAGGACUUGACGGGGGGCCCGCACAAGCGGUGGAGUAUGUGGUUUACUUCGAUGCAACGCGAAGAACCUUACUAGGGCUUGACAAUGUCCCGGAAUCCCAGGUGAAAGCUGGGGAGUGCCUUUCGGGAGCCGGAACACAGGUGGUGCAUUGGCUGUCGUCAGCUCGUGUCGUGAGAUGUUGGGUUAAGUCCCGCAAC